This 74-nucleotide transfer RNA is filed under the name Myotis brandtii (Brandt's bat). It matches the Rfam family "tRNA". Rfam says of the family: Transfer RNA (tRNA) molecules are approximately 80 nucleotides in length. Their secondary structure includes four short double-helical elements and three loops (D, anti-codon, and T loops). The record is from Rfam by way of RNAcentral. Lineage: Eukaryota; Metazoa; Chordata; Mammalia; Chiroptera; Vespertilionidae.
GCCGGUUUGGCUCAGUGGAUAGAGCAUUGGCCUAAGGACCAAAGGGUACCGGGCUUCGAUUCCGGUAAAGGGUA